This 515-nucleotide long non-coding RNA is filed under the name Lactuca sativa (garden lettuce). RNAcentral describes it as "long non-coding RNA (LSAT_LNC006224)". Lineage: Eukaryota; Viridiplantae; Streptophyta; Magnoliopsida; Asterales; Asteraceae. The record is from RNAcentral.
GAACUCACUACACGAGAUGCAUCAUCAGGACACGGCCUUCUCCGUUGUCUAGUUGGUAACCAGAGUCUCCUGUAGGGAGAGCGGGCAUUGUGUGUAUAGAUCUAUACGGGAUUGACACCCCCACACCCUGACUGCUAGCUACAGUCCACGGCCUACCAAGCCAAGGGGUGACAAAUGUCACAUUCUUUCCGACGCUUGCAGGGCGUCAAGUUCUCUAGUGUCUAUCAGUAUGGUUACGAGUAUCUCGAGGUUACCUUAUAAUUCAUGGCCUUAAGGUAACGGGUAUUAACACUGUAUUCACUGUUUUUAGACCUUGCUAGACGUAUCAUUCAUUUGAUACUGUAUGGGGUCUGUAUUCACUGUUUUUAGACCUUGCUAGACGUAUCAUUCAUUUGAUACUGUCUGGGGUCUGUAUUCACUGUUUUUAGACCUUGCUAGACAUGUCAUUCAUUUGAUACUGUCUGGGGUCUGUAUUCCCUGUUUUUAGACCUUUCUAGACGUAUCAUUCAUUUGAU